Molecule: long non-coding RNA, 2756 nt
Filed under: Homo sapiens (human)
Lineage: Eukaryota; Metazoa; Chordata; Mammalia; Primates; Hominidae
Description: HSALNT0401447
Source: RNAcentral
UUGUGGAGGGUGGUUCCUGGGACAACGCCCAUGCCGUGAUCAGGAACGGGGUCAGCAGGAGUCAGGUGGGGAAGUGCCAGGUGUCCACUGCCACGACCAACACGUUACUCACACUCACGGCACAAGAAUGGCCUCUGUACCCUGUGUGUAGGCAUAUCCAGGCACAGUCGCUUGUAUGUCUGAGACCUCAAGCUGGAGAGUGCUGAUGGCCAACAUGCUGGUCACCUCUCCACAGUCCUUCCUCCUCCUGGACAACACCCCUGCUCUCUCUGGAUGGUCCUGAGCUAAGCCCGGAAGAACUUUCCAGGCCCAGGUUCCCCAUGCGGGGCUGCCUGAGCACCCCCACCCUAUGGCCAGCCCUGCUGCCCUGGCUUCCACCUCCAGAUCCUUCCUGCCAUGUCCCCCUCCAAUCAGAGCCGACCCACACUGUGUCCCUCCCAGUGGCUCUACUGCCUACUGAACACGUGCACCAUCACCGCCGUGGGGCCCACAGAGUCAAGGCUAUAAAGAGGGACUGAGAACACCGUGACGCCCUGGCCUGCGCACCCUCCUCUGCUCCAUCUGGGUCUGUCCGGAUGGCAGAGGCUCAGAGGGUCUGCCCCUACCAGAUGGUGGAGGCUCAGAAUGUCUGAGCCAGAAAAAGCAUGAAAGAAAACUUAGCCUUCCUCCUCCCAGUUAACAGGGCCAGCAUGAGGCUUUGGGGAGGUUCUGAGGCAGGAGACAUCCUACGUCAUCUCCACAGGUCAUGAACCCUAUAGCAUCUCCCACCAAGAGGGUCACGGACCCUACAGCAUCUCCCACCAGGAGGGCCAUGACCAGCCUCUGGGGCUGUGCUGCUGCAUGCCAAGGAGUAGCUGAAUCCUAGGAGUGGAGAAUCCCCAGCCUGGAAGGGGACCCCCUCCACCGACUGCCAUCACUCUGGGGCUCUCUGGCUUGAGGGCUCUCUGGGGCCACGAGGCCAGGCCUCCUCUCCACGUCCAAACAGGCUGGCUGGGUGCAAAAUGCCAUGGUGCUUGCUCUGGAUGGGCUGGAGUUUUCCCUAUUCAGGGGCCAGGGCAAUGGGUGGAGGGCCUGGGUAGAGAGGCAGAGCACGGUUGCGUCCAGGCUGUGCCACCCUGACCCUGAACUCAGGCCCACAGGAGGCUCCAGGCAACAGCUGCUCUCUCCUCUGCUGGGGCCUCCUGCCUGGAAAGCCUGCUCCCACCCACAAUGCCUAGAUUCCUCCCUCCAAGCAGCCUUAGAGACCCCUUUGGGAUCCAGAUCUGCUCUGCUCCUCACCCUGGGGAUCUGGGUGUCACUUUAAAUAAAGGGACCGCUCGUGCUCACCAGGCUGCGGGAUAUUCAGAGGCUGGGCUGGCAGUUCCCAUCCCGUGGUCGCAGAGUGCUAUGGAGGGGAGAUAAUAGGUGUGAUUUCUGUGCAGAGGAUGGACAGGGCUCCAGGGACAGAGGAUGCAGGAGUGACAGGCAUCAUCAGAUACCAUUUGUCCAGCAGCCGCUCCAGCCACCUGGUGUGGAUGUGGCCUCGUGUCCAUACUCUCCAGAGCACCCGGCUUAGUGGCUAUCUGCCUGGCUGUCUCUCCCAUUUUCAUGUGAAAGGGGGCCAGGCAGGACAUGGGGUCUGGGGACUGCCAUCUCCUCCUGGGGGCUGCACUGUGCUGACAGUCUUGUGUCCCCCUGACAGGGGCUGCACAGACGGGCCAGGCAGAAGUGAAGGAGAAGAAGGAAGCCAACAGAAGGUGGCUUUCAGGGCUGGUCACGCAGAGGGUGGAUUCUGACGGGCAGGGCUGCUGUGGGUGGUGGGCACCAUCUAUGCUCAUCCCUGCCCAGGCAGCUCUGGGCUCCCCCAGCUCAGGUGGGCCCCCUCCUCACCCAGGGCGCAGCUGUGGCUGGCAGCAGGCAUUCACCCCCUUCUCAGCUGCUCAGCCAUGGAACCAGGAGCUAACUCAAUUCCUCUGUCCCCAAAGUCUGUGCCCACCAGGCCAUCCGCCUCAAACACUUGGUGGCCAAGGCCUGGGGAUGGUCCCCAGGCUGCAUCUGGUCAGUGGUCAAGAGGCUGCACCUCUAGGAGCCUCCUCUGUCACUCACCCGCCCAGGCCUGGACAGCCUGGACACUCCAGCCAGAGGCAGCCCAGAGGGUGUGGGAGGGGCUCUCUGGGGACAGAGCAGGAGGGGACACUGCUGUGACCCUGUAGCUGCAGACAUGUGUCUCCACGAAGGGAAGAGGCUGCUGUCCACUGUCGCUUUCUGCAGUGACACUGUGCCCUGGCCCGGGCUCUCUGCUGGGUUGCAGAAGUGCCUGGGUCAGGACAGCUCGCAUCUGCCUUCACCGCAGACCCCUCUCUGCAGCCCAUCUGAGGCAAUGUGGCCUCUGCUGUCCAAGACUCACUUCGAGGGGAUCCUUUUCCUUUUUUAGUGGAAACCUGGUGUCCUCCCUUUGAGUGCUUUUAGGGGCUGGGGAGGAGGUGGCUAUUGGCGGCAGUGCGGGGGCUUCAUGCUCUGCCUGCGCGCAGCAGAGAACACGGCUUCAUUGGUGGGAUUUGUCUGGUGACUGGGCAGGUGGGUCGCCUGGACACGUGCUCCCAGCCUUCAGAUGUGACAAGGAGGGGACCAUUUGCGGGGUUGCUGUGUGCUGGGGACAGAGCAGAAAAUGCCAGGCGGCACCAUUUUUCCCACUCCCCACCCGCCCGUGCUCACUCAGAGGGAAUGUACAGAUAUUCUGUUUGUAAUUAAAAAGUAAUUUAAUUAUCCGCUGAAAA